CCUACGGGAGGCAGCAGUGAGGAAUAUUGGUCAAUGGGCUUACGCCUGAACCAGCCAAGUCGCGUGAGGGAAGACUGCCCUAUGGGUUGUAAACCUCUUUUGUCAGGGAGCAACGCCGGCUACGUGUAGCCGGACUGAGAGUACCUGAAGAAAAAGCAUCGGCUAACUCCGUGCCAGCAGCCGCGGUAAUACGGAGGAUGCGAGCGUUAUCCGGAUUUAUUGGGUUUAAAGGGUGCGUAGGCGGACUGCCAAGUCAGCGGUAAAAUCGCGGGGCUCAACCUCGCUCCGCCGUUGAAACUGGCGGUCUUGAGAUGUCGAGAGGGAUGCGGAAUGCGCAGUGUAGCGGUGAAAUGCUUAGAUAUUGCGCAGAACUCCGAUUGCGAAGGCAGCAUACCGGCGGCGAUCUGACGCUGAGGCACGAAAGCGUGGGUAUCGAACAGGAUUAGAUACCCGGGUAGUC
RNAcentral lists this ribosomal RNA (460 nucleotides) under uncultured bacterium. RNAcentral's name for it is "partial 16S ribosomal RNA". It matches the Rfam family "Bacterial small subunit ribosomal RNA", at positions 338 to 795 of the family's 1533-position model. The record is from RNAcentral.